RNAcentral lists this ribosomal RNA (1470 nucleotides) under metagenome. RNAcentral's name for it is "bacterial SSU rRNA". It matches the Rfam family "Bacterial small subunit ribosomal RNA". The record is from RNAcentral.
GAGUUUGAUCCUGGCUCAGAACGAACGCUGGCGGUAUGCUUAACACAUGCAAGUCGAACGCGAAUUCAUCUUCGGAUGAUAGUAGAGUGGCGCACGGGUGAGUAACGCGUAGAUAACCUACCCUUCAGCCUGGGAUAACGUCGAGAAAUUGGCGCUAAUACCGGAUAACAAUAGGAGCUUAGUGGCUUUUAUUUGAAAGAUUUAUCACUGAAGGAUGGGUCUGCGUACCAUUAGUUUGUUGGUGGGGUAACGGCCUACCAAGACUACGAUGGUUAGCGGGUCUGAGAGGAUGAUCCGCCACACUGGAACUGAGACACGGUCCAGACUCCUACGGGAGGCAGCAGUGGGAAUUUUGCGCAAUGGACGAAAGUCUGACGCAGCAAUACCGCGUGAGUGAAGAAGGCCCUUGGGUCGUAAAGCUCUUUGUUUAGGGGAAGAUAAUGACGUUACCCUAAGAAUAAGCACCGGCUAACUCCGUGCCAGCAGCCGCGGUAAUACGGAGGGUGCAAGCGUUGUUCGGAUUUACUGGGCGUAAAGGGCGCGUAGGCGGCUUUCCAAGCCAAGGGUGAAAUCCCGGAGCUCAACUCCGGAACUGCUCUUGGAACUGGGAGGCUAGAGACAUGCAGAGGCAGGUGGAAUUCCAGGUGUAGAGGUGAAAUUCGUAGAUAUCUGGAGGGACACCGGUGGCGAAGGCGGCCUGCUGGGCAUGUUCUGACGCUAAGGCGCGAAAGCGUGGGGAGCAAACGGGAUUAGAUACCCCGGUAGUCCACGCCGUAAACGAUGAUUACCAGCUGUCUGAGGAAUCGACCCCUCAAGUAGCGCAGCUAACGCGAUGAGUAAUCCGCCUGGGGAGUACGGCCGCAAGACUAAAACUCAAAGGAAUUGACGGGGGCCCGCACAAGCGGUGGAGCAUGUGGUUUAAUUCGACGCAACGCGAAGAACCUUACCUGGGUUUGACAUCCUUGGACCGGUAUAGAGAUAUACUUUUCACUUCGGUGACCAAGUGACAGGUGCUGCAUGGCUGUCGUCAGCUCGUGUCGUGAGAUGUUGGGUUAAGUCCCGCAACGAGCGCAACCCUUACCCUUAGUUACCAGCGGCUCGGCCGGGGACUCUAGGGGGACUGCCUGUGUUAAGCAGGAGGAAGGUGGGGAUGACGUCAAGUCCUCAUGGCCUUUAUAUCCAGGGCUACACACGUGCUACAAUGGCAACUACAAAGAGCAGCUAGCUCGCGAGAGUCGGCGAAUCUCAAAAAGGUUGUCUCAGUUCGGAUUACAGUCUGCAACUCGACUGUAUGAAGUUGGAAUCGCUAGUAAUCGUGGAUCAGCAUGCCACGGUGAAUACGUUCCCGGGCCUUGUACACACCGCCCGUCACACCAUGGGAGUUGACAUUGGCAGUAUACGUUGAGCUAACCUUCGGGGAGCAGGCGUAGAAGCUAGUCUCGAUGACUGGGGUGAAGUCGUAACAAGGUA